GGAUGAAGAACGUAGCGAAAUGCGAUAAGUAGUGUGAAUUGCAGAAUUCAGUGAAUCAUCGAAUCUUUGAACGCACAUUGCGGCCAUAGGUAUUCCUUUGGCCAUGCCUGUUCGAGCGUCAUUUACACCCUCAAGCCUAGCUUGGUGUUGGGCGCCUGUCCCGCCGUUUUCGCGCGCGGACUCGCCUCAAAGUCAUUGGCGGCGGUCGUGCCGGCCCCCUCGCGCAGCACAUUUGCGCUUCUCGGAGGCCCGGCGGAUCCGCGCUCCAGCAAGACCUUUCACGACUUGACCUCGGAUCAGGUAGGGAUACCCGCUGAACUUAAGCAUAUCAAUAAGCGGAGGA
Molecule: unclassified non-coding RNA, 343 nt
Filed under: soil metagenome
Description: partial contains 5.8S ribosomal RNA, internal transcribed spacer 2, and large subunit ribosomal RNA
Rfam family: 5.8S ribosomal RNA (bases 2-121)
Source: RNAcentral